GACGUAGGGCGCGAGCGUUGUCCGGAUUUAUUGGGCGUAAAGAGCUCGUAGGUGGUUCGGUAAGUCAGGUGUGAAACCUCCAGGCUCAACCUGGAGACGCCACUUGAUACUGCUGUGACUGGAGUCCGGUAGGGGAGCGUGGAAUUCCUGGUGUAGCGGUGAAAUGCGUAGAUAUCUGGAGGAACACCGGUGGCGAAGGCGGCAUCCUGGACCGACACUGACGCUGAGGAGCGAAAGCCAGGGGAGCAAACGGG
This 254-nucleotide ribosomal RNA is filed under the name uncultured bacterium. RNAcentral describes it as "partial 16S ribosomal RNA". It matches the Rfam family "Bacterial small subunit ribosomal RNA", at positions 524 to 776 of the family's 1533-position model. The record is from RNAcentral.